RNAcentral lists this ribosomal RNA (405 nucleotides) under embryophyte environmental sample. RNAcentral's name for it is "eukaryotic LSU rRNA". The stretch from base 28 to 144 matches the Rfam family "5.8S ribosomal RNA", at positions 40 to 154 of the family's 154-position model. Lineage: Eukaryota; Viridiplantae; Streptophyta. The record is from RNAcentral.
ACACAAAGUUGCAGCGGGGCUCGGGGUAGAACGUAGCGAAAUGCGAUACUUGGUGUGAAUUGCAGAAUCCCGCGAAUCAUCGAGUCUUUGAACGCAAGUUGCGCCCGAAGCCACCUGGCCGAGGGCACGUCUGCCUGGGUGUCACGCAUCGUUGCCCCCAACCCCAUCGCCCUGCAAAGAGGCGGUGGGGGCAUGCGGGGCGGACAUUGGCCUCCCGUGGGCUGAUGCCUGCGGCUGGCCUAAAAACGAGUCCUCGGCGACGAUCGCCACGACAAUCGGUGGUUGACAAACCUUCGUGACCCGUCGUGCGCGCAUCGCCGCUCAACGCGUGCUCUUUUGACCCUGUCGCGUCGCGCUCGCGACGCUUCCAACGCGACCCCAGGUCAGGCGGGACUACCCGCUGAG